GUGGUUGUGGCUCAGUGGUAGAGUGUUCGCCUGGCACAUGGGAGGCCCUGGGUUCAAUCUUCAGCACCACA
This 71-nucleotide transfer RNA is filed under the name Ictidomys tridecemlineatus (thirteen-lined ground squirrel). RNAcentral describes it as "Spermophilus tridecemlineatus (thirteen-lined ground squirrel) tRNA". The record is from Rfam by way of RNAcentral. Lineage: Eukaryota; Metazoa; Chordata; Mammalia; Rodentia; Sciuridae.